This 405-nucleotide ribosomal RNA is filed under the name uncultured bacterium. RNAcentral's name for it is "bacterial SSU rRNA". It matches the Rfam family "Bacterial small subunit ribosomal RNA", at positions 355 to 776 of the family's 1533-position model. The record is from RNAcentral.
UCGGGAAUAUUGCACAAUGGAGGAAACUCUGAUGCAGUGACGCCGCGUGCAGGAAGAAGGUUUUCGGAUUGUAAACUGCUUUAGACAGGGAAGAACAAGGACAGUACCUGUAGAAUAAGCUCCGGCUAACUACGUGCCAGCAGCCGCGGUAAUACGUAGGGAGCAAGCGUUAUCCGGAUUUAUUGGGUGUAAAGGGUGCGUAGACGGGUAUAUAAGUUAGUUGUGAAAUCCCUCGGCUCAACUGAGGAACUGCAACUAAAACUGUAAAUCUUGAGUGCGGGAGAGGAAAGUGGAAUUCCUAGUGUAGCGGUGAAAUGCGUAGAUAUUAGGAGGAACACCAGUGGCGAAGGCGACUUUCUGGACCGUAACUGACGUUGAGGCACGAAAGUGUGGGGAGCAAACAGG